This 465-nucleotide ribosomal RNA is filed under the name uncultured bacterium. RNAcentral describes it as "partial 16S ribosomal RNA". It matches the Rfam family "Bacterial small subunit ribosomal RNA", at positions 28 to 507 of the family's 1533-position model. The record is from RNAcentral.
GACGAACGCUGGCGGCGUGCUUAACACAUGCAAGUCGAACGGAGAGGCCCUGCUUGCAGGGUACUCGAGUGGCGAACGGGUGAGUAACACGUGGGUGAUCUGCCCUGCACUUCGGGAUAAGCCUGGGAAACUGGGUCUAAUACCGGAUAGGAGCCAUUUUUAGUGUGAUGGUUGGAAAGUUUUUUCGGUGUAGGAUGAGCUCGCGGCCAAUCAGCUUGUUGGUGGGGUAAUGGCCUACCAAGGCGGCGACGGGUAGCCGGCCUGAGAGGGUGGACGGCCACAUUGGGACUGAGAUACGGCCCAGACUCCUACGGGAGGCAGCAGUGGGGAAUAUUGCACAAUGGGCGCAAGCCUGAUGCAGCGACGCCGCGUGGGGGAUGACGGCCUUCGGGUUGUAAACUCCUUUCGCUAGGGACGAAGCUUUUUGUGACGGUACCUAGAUAAGAAGCACCGGCUAACUACGUG